This 353-nucleotide transfer-messenger RNA is filed under the name Caryophanaceae. Its description in RNAcentral is "Indiicoccus lenghuensis Standard tmRNA". It matches the Rfam family "transfer-messenger RNA". From Rfam's summary of the family: Bacterial tmRNA, also known as 10Sa RNA or SsrA, is named for its dual tRNA and mRNA-like properties. Its role is to liberate the mRNA from a stalled ribosome. RNAcentral also lists the same sequence under 2 other names. Lineage: Bacteria; Bacillati; Bacillota; Bacilli; Caryophanales. The record is from RNAcentral.
GGGGACGUUACGGAUUCGACAGGAAUGGUCCAAGCUUGGACUGCGCGUCGGAGGGCUCGGCUCCGUAUCAACGGCACAAAUAGUAACUGGCAAAAACCAAAACCUCGCUUUCGCAGCGUAAGCUAGCGUAGCAGUCUGCCUGUCCAUCACCCAUGUGGAUCUGCAGACUUCAACUUAAGUGGGAUACGGUAGGCGGUGCGAUCCGAGCCGCCUGCAAGAGAUCAGUGGAUUAGUGCCUGUGACGCCUGCUUACUGGCAGAUCAGUGCACGAACCUUUAAUAAGUAAGCUAUGCGCGUAGACGUUCAAGUACAGGAGUUUCUGGACGCGGGUUCGACUCCCGCCGUCUCCAUAG